GCCCUUGGGGAAUCUUCCGCAAUGGGCGAAAGCCUGACGGAGCAAUACCGCGUGAGGGAUGAAGGAUUUUGGUCUGUAAACCUCUUUUCUCAAGAAAGAAGUUCUGACGGUACUUGAGGAAUAAGCAUCGGCUAACUCCGUGCCAGCAGCCGCGGUAAUACGGGGGAUGCAAGCGUUAUCCGGAAUCAUUGGGCGUAAAGCGCCUGUAGGUUGUUUAAUAAGUCUGUUGUUAAAGACUAGGGCUCAACCCUAGAAAAGCAAUGGAAACUACUAGACUAGAGUAUGGCAGGGGUAGAGGGAAUUUCUAGUGUAGCGGUGAAAUGCGUAGAUAUUAGAAAGGACACCGGUGGCGAAAGCGCUCUACUGGACCAUUACUGACACUCAGAGGCGAAAGCUAGGGUAGCAAAAGGGAUUAGAUACCCCUGUAGUC
This 430-nucleotide ribosomal RNA is filed under the name uncultured bacterium. Its description in RNAcentral is "bacterial SSU rRNA". It matches the Rfam family "Bacterial small subunit ribosomal RNA", at positions 350 to 795 of the family's 1533-position model. The record is from RNAcentral.